AACGAACGCUGGCGGCAUGCCUAACACAUGCAAGUCGAACGAAGCCUUCGGGCUUAGUGGCGCACGGGUGCGUAACGCGUGGGAAUCUGCCCCUUGCUUCGGAAUAACAGUUAGAAAUGACUGCUAAUACCGGAUGAAGUCUUCGGACCAAAGAUUUAUCGGCAAGGGAUGAGCCCGCGUAGGAUUAGGUAGUUGGUGGGGUAAAGGCCUACCAAGCCGACGAUCCUUAGCUGGUCUGAGAGGAUGAUCAGCCACACUGGGACUGAGACACGGCCCAGACUCCUACGGGAGGCAGCAGUGGGGAAUAUUGGACAAUGGACGCAAGUCUGAUCCAGCAAUGCCGCGGGAGUGAUGAAGGCCUUAGGGUUGUAAAGCUCUUUUACCAGGGAUGAUAAUGACAGUACCUGGAGAAUAAGCUCCGGCUAACUCCGU
RNAcentral lists this ribosomal RNA (432 nucleotides) under uncultured bacterium. RNAcentral's name for it is "partial 16S ribosomal RNA". It matches the Rfam family "Bacterial small subunit ribosomal RNA", at positions 29 to 506 of the family's 1533-position model. The record is from RNAcentral.